This 497-nucleotide ribosomal RNA is filed under the name uncultured bacterium. RNAcentral describes it as "partial 16S ribosomal RNA". It matches the Rfam family "Bacterial small subunit ribosomal RNA", at positions 28 to 507 of the family's 1533-position model. The record is from RNAcentral.
GAUGAACGCUGGCGGCGUGCCUAAUACAUGCAAGUCGAGCGAACAGACGAGGAGCUUGCUCCUUUGACGUUAGCGGCGCACGGGUGAGUAACACGUGGGUACCCUACCUAUAAGUCUGGGAUAAUUUCGGGAAACCGGAGCUAAUCCCGGAUAAUAUUUCGCACCGCAUGGUUCGAUAGUGAAAGAUGGCUUUGCUAUCACUUAUAGAUGGACCUGCACCGUAUUAGCUAGUUGGUAAGGUAACGGCUUACCAAGGCAACGAUCCGUAGCCGACCUGAGAGGGUGAUCGGCCACACUGGAACUGAGGCACGGUCCAUACGCCUACGGGAGGCAGCAGUAGGGAAUCUUCCGCAAUGGGCGAAAGCCUGACGGAGCAACGCCGCGUGAGUGAUGAAAGUCUUCGGAUCGGAAAACGCUGUUAUUAGGGAAGAACAAACGUGUAAGGAACUGUGCAGGUAGUGACGGUACCGAAUCAGAAAGCCACGGCUAACUACGUG